RNAcentral lists this ribosomal RNA (280 nucleotides) under uncultured bacterium. Its description in RNAcentral is "partial 16S ribosomal RNA". It matches the Rfam family "Bacterial small subunit ribosomal RNA", at positions 338 to 629 of the family's 1533-position model. The record is from RNAcentral.
CCUACGGGUGGCAGCAGUGGGGAAUAUUGCGCUAAUGCGCGAAAGCGUGACGCAGCGACGCCGCGUGGGGGAUGAAGGCCCUCGGGUCGUAAACCCCUUUCGGCAGGGACGAAGCGAAAGUGACGGUACCUGCAGAAGAAGUCCCGGCUAACUACGUGCCAGCAGCCGCGGUAACACGUAGGGGACGAGCGUUGUCCGGAUUCAUUGGGCGUAAAGCGCGCGUAGGCGGCCCGGAAAGUCGGAUGUGAAACCCCGGGGCUCAACCCCGGGCCUGCAUCCG